UAGCUAGUUGGUGGGGUAAGGGCCUACCAAGGCGACGAUCGGUAGCUGGUCUGAGAGGAUGACCAGCCACACUGGAACUGAGACACGGUCCAGACUCCUACGGGAGGCAGCAGUGGGGAAUAUUGGACAAUGGGGGCAACCCUGAUCCAGCAAUGCCGCGUGUGUGAAGAAGGCCUGAGGGUUGUAUAGCACUUUCAGUGGGGAGGAGUGUUGAUGGGUUAAGAGCUAAUUAACUGGACGUUACCCACAGAGGAAGCACCGGCUAACUCCGUGCCAGCAGCCGCGGUAAUACGGAGGGUGCGAGCGUUAAUCGGAAUUACUGGGCGUAAAGAGUGCGUAGGUGGUUGAAUAAGUUAUCUGUGAAAUCCCUGGGCUUAACCUGGGCAGGUCAGAUGAUACUGUUUAACUCGAGUAUGGGAGAGGGUAGUGGAAUUUCCGGUGUAGCGGUGAAAUGCGUAGAGAUCGGAAGGAACACCAGUGGCGAAGGCGGCUACCUGGCCUAAUACUGACACUGAGGCACGAAAGCGUGGGGAGCAAACAGGAUUAGAUACCCUGGUAGUCCACGCUGUAAACGAUGUCAACUAGCUGUUGGUUAUAUGAAAAUAAUUAGUGGCGC
This 616-nucleotide ribosomal RNA is filed under the name uncultured Legionella sp. Its description in RNAcentral is "bacterial SSU rRNA". It matches the Rfam family "Bacterial small subunit ribosomal RNA", at positions 242 to 849 of the family's 1533-position model. The record is from RNAcentral. Lineage: Bacteria; Pseudomonadati; Pseudomonadota; Gammaproteobacteria; Legionellales; Legionellaceae.